RNAcentral lists this transfer RNA (76 nucleotides) under Rickettsiales bacterium. RNAcentral's name for it is "tRNA-Ala". It matches the Rfam family "tRNA". From Rfam's summary of the family: Transfer RNA (tRNA) molecules are approximately 80 nucleotides in length. Their secondary structure includes four short double-helical elements and three loops (D, anti-codon, and T loops). Lineage: Bacteria; Pseudomonadati; Pseudomonadota; Alphaproteobacteria; Rickettsiales. The record is from RNAcentral.
GGGGCCGUAGCUCAGCUGGGAGAGCGCUUGGAUGGCAUUCAAGAGGUCAGGGGUUCGAUCCCCCUCGGCUCCACCA